UCUACGAGUUUGAUCCUGGCUCAGAUUGAACGCUGGCGGCAUGGCUAAUGCAUGCAAGUCGAACGAAAGCCCUUCGGGGCGAAAGUGGCGAAAGGGCGAGUAAUACGAUCGAACGUACCCCAAGGUGGAGGAUAGUGUCGGGAAACUGACGGUAAUACUCCAUGUGCUCUUCGGAGGAAAGCUUUGGCGCCUCGGGAGCGGCGAUCGUCCUAUCAGGUAGUUGGUGAGGUAAUGGCUCACCAAGCCGAAGACGGGUAGCGGGUGUGAGAGCAUGACCCGCCGCAUCGGGACUGAGACACUGCCCGGACUCCUACGGGAGGCUGCAGCGACGAAUCUUCCGCAAUGGGCGCAAGCCUGACGGAGCAAUGCCGCGUGUGGGACGAAGCGUCUUCGACGUGUAAACCACUGUCAGAAUCUAGGAACACUGACCAGAUUCAAAGGAAGGGCCGGCUAACCUCGUG
Molecule: ribosomal RNA, 461 nt
Filed under: uncultured bacterium
Lineage: Bacteria
Description: bacterial SSU rRNA
Rfam family: Bacterial small subunit ribosomal RNA
Source: RNAcentral